UGGAGAAUUUGUCCAACGGCGGGGGAUAGCCGGCCCAAACGGCCGGGUAAUACCGCGUACGACCUUCGGGGGGCGAUCCCCUGAUGGUGAAAGCCGCAAGGCGCCGAUGGAGAACUUCGCGGCCUAUCAGCUAGUUGGUGAGGUCAUGGCUCACCAAGGCGACGACGGGUAGCUGGUCCGAGAGGAUGACCAGCCACAUUGGGACUGAGACACGGCCCAGACCUCCGUACGGGGAGGCAG
This 240-nucleotide ribosomal RNA is filed under the name uncultured bacterium. RNAcentral's name for it is "partial 16S ribosomal RNA". It matches the Rfam family "Bacterial small subunit ribosomal RNA", at positions 118 to 351 of the family's 1533-position model. The record is from RNAcentral.